GGUUUCCCCUCUCUGUUCCGAUGAAGAUGGUGGUGCCAGGAAGAGGAUUGCGGCUAUAUUACGAUUCCUGCUCUAUUUCUCAAUGAUCAACUCCGCUCUUCUCUUCUGCUGAUGAUUUAAGGUUUUGUUUGUAUUUCAAGAUAUGGUGAACAAUAGGGCUAAAUCCCCCAUCCUACAUGCUUUAUUUCUCCAGUAAUCUUGCUGUUCGAUUCAUGUAGAGAUUGGACUACGAGAGAAAGAUGUUAAGAUCAGGAUGUUGAUGUUGAGCCCUAAAUUAGUUCAUAAUUUUUCGAACAACCUACACCAGUGUCGUGAUUCCAGCAACCGGCCCUGUCUUCGCGUUGCGGAACCAGUUAGACAGCUUAUGGAUGCAGGUUGGUGUUGGUUAGGCCUUGGAAUUUGUCUUGGUGUCGGCAUUGGAGUUGGUCUUCUUGUUCGUACAUAUCAAUCUACCACCAGAAAUU
Molecule: long non-coding RNA, 464 nt
Filed under: Helianthus annuus (common sunflower)
Lineage: Eukaryota; Viridiplantae; Streptophyta; Magnoliopsida; Asterales; Asteraceae
Source: RNAcentral